RNAcentral lists this unclassified non-coding RNA (229 nucleotides) under Homo sapiens (human). Its description in RNAcentral is "bromodomain containing 2 (ENSG00000230678.10)". The record is from RNAcentral. Lineage: Eukaryota; Metazoa; Chordata; Mammalia; Primates; Hominidae.
GGCCAAAUCGUCUUCAGAGUCCUCCAGUGAGGAAAGUAGCAGUGAGAGCUCCUCUGAGGAAGAGGAGGAGGAAGAUGAGGACGAGGAGGAAGAAGAGAGUGAAAGCUCAGACUCAGAGGAAGAAAGGGCUCAUCGCUUAGCAGAACUACAGGAACAGCUUCGGGCAGUACAUGAACAACUGGCUGCUCUGUCCCAGGGUCCAAUAUCCAAGCCCAAGAGGAAAAGAGAG